This 402-nucleotide ribosomal RNA is filed under the name uncultured Sphingomonas sp. RNAcentral's name for it is "bacterial SSU rRNA". It matches the Rfam family "Bacterial small subunit ribosomal RNA", at positions 355 to 774 of the family's 1533-position model. Lineage: Bacteria; Pseudomonadati; Pseudomonadota; Alphaproteobacteria; Sphingomonadales; Sphingomonadaceae. The record is from RNAcentral.
UGGGGAAUAUUGGACAAUGGGCGAAAGCCUGAUCCAGCAAUGCCGCGUGAGUGAUGAAGGCCUUAGGGUUGUAAAGCUCUUUUACCCGGGAAGAUAAUGACUGUACCGGGAGAAUAAGCCCCGGCUAACUCCGUGCCAGCAGCCGCGGUAAUACGGAGGGGGCUAGCGUUGUUCGGAAUUACUGGGCGUAAAGCGCACGUAGGCGGCUUUGUAAGUUAGAGGUGAAAGCCUGGGGCUCAACUCCAGAAUAGCCUUUAAGACUGCAUCGCUUGAACGUCGGAGAGGUGAGUGGAAUUCCGAGUGUAGAGGUGAAAUUCGUAGAUAUUCGGAAGAACACCAGUGGCGAAGGCGGCUCACUGGACGACUGUUGACGCUGAGGUGCGAAAGCGUGGGGAGCAAACA